Molecule: ribosomal RNA, 465 nt
Filed under: uncultured bacterium
Lineage: Bacteria
Description: partial 16S ribosomal RNA
Rfam family: Bacterial small subunit ribosomal RNA
Source: RNAcentral
GACGAACGCUGGCGGCGUGCUUAACACAUGCCAGUCGAACGGAAAGGCCCUGCUUGCAGGGUACUCGAGUGGCGAACGGGUGAGUAACACGUGGGUGAUCUGCCCUGCACUUCGGGAUAAGCCUGGGAAACUGGGUCUAAUACCGGAUAGGAGCCAUUUUUAGUGUGAUGGUUGGAAAGUUUUUUCGGUGUAGGAUGAGCUCGCGGCCUAUCAGCUUGUUGGUGGGGUAAUGGCCUACCAAGGCGGCGACGGGUAGCCGGCCUGAGAGGGUGGACGGCCACAUUGGGACUGAGAGACGGCCCAGACUCCUACGGGAGGCAGCAGUGGGGAAUAUUGCACAAUGGGCGCAAGCCUGAUGCAGCGACGCCGCGUGGGGGAUGACGGCCUUCGGGUUGUAAACUCCUUUCGCUAGGGACGAAGCUUUUUGUGACGGUACCUAGAUAAGAAGCACCGGCUAACUACGUG